CCUACGGGCGGCAGCAGUGAGGAAUAUUGGUCAAUGGACGGAAGUCUGAACCAGCCAUGCCGCGUGCAGGAAGACGGCUCUAUGAGUUGUAAACUGCUUUUGUACAAGGGUAAACCUGAAUACGUGUAUUCAGCUGACAGUACUGUACGAAUAAGGAUCGGCUAACUCCGUGCCAGCAGCCGCGGUAAUACGGAGGAUCCAAGCGUUAUCCGGAUUUAUUGGGUUUAAAGGGUGCGUAGGCGGAUUGGUAAGUUAGAGGUGAAAUGUCCGAGCUUAACUCGGGAACUGCCUCUAAUACUGUUGGUCUAGAGAGUAGAUGCGGUAGGCGGAAUGUAUGGUGUAGCGGUGAAAUGCUUAGAGAUCAUACAGAACACCGAUUGCGAAGGCAGCUUACCAAUCUAUAUCUGACGUUGAGGCACGAAAGCGUGGGGAGCAAACAGGAUUAGAUACCCGGGUAGUC
Molecule: ribosomal RNA, 460 nt
Filed under: uncultured bacterium
Lineage: Bacteria
Description: partial 16S ribosomal RNA
Rfam family: Bacterial small subunit ribosomal RNA
Source: RNAcentral